AUGGCCAGGCGAUGGCUCACGUCGGACGCGAGCGCGCCCCCUCCGUCGCAGCAUUCUGGGUGGGACGUGAACCGGUCGGCCGUGAAGGUUGCCAUCGUCGGCAACGUGGUCGUCGUGCUGCUCUUCUUCGUCGCCAUCGUCUGGCGCCUCUUCUUCUCGGGGAGAGCUCAAGAAGGCGCCGGCGGCGGUGGGGCGGUCAUUGCGCCCUCCUCCGGGGAGAGCUCGCCGUGCGCGUCGCCUCGGGCUAAAGGGCUCAGGAAGGAGGACCUCAUGUCGCUGCCGGUGUACGUCCACCGCGCCUCGGCGGAGGACGGCGGCAAGGUGGAGUGCGCGGUGUGCAUCUGCGAGCUCAGAGACGGCGACACCGGCCGGCGGCUGCCGAGGUGCGGGCACCGCUUCCACGCCGAGUGUGUCGACAGGUGGUUCCGCUCGCACGCUACGUGUCCACUCUGCCGCGCUCUUGUGGCGGACGGCGGCUGA
RNAcentral lists this ribosomal RNA (480 nucleotides) under Triticum aestivum (bread wheat). RNAcentral describes it as "partial small subunit ribosomal RNA". Lineage: Eukaryota; Viridiplantae; Streptophyta; Magnoliopsida; Poales; Poaceae. The record is from RNAcentral.